RNAcentral lists this transfer RNA (68 nucleotides) under Eurythoe complanata. Its description in RNAcentral is "tRNA-Ser". Lineage: Eukaryota; Metazoa; Annelida; Polychaeta; Eunicida; Amphinomidae. The record is from RNAcentral.
AAUUUGUGCCCGGGGCAUAAUAAGGCUUCUAACCUUACCGUGACAGGUUCGACUCCUAUCACAAAUUU